GGGAAACGAUGUGGGAAGGCCCAGACAGCCAGGAUGUUGGCUUAGAAGCAGCCAUCAUUUAAAGAAAGCGUAAUAGCUCACUGGUCGAGUCGGCCUGCGCGGAAGAUGUAACGGGGCUAAACCAUGCACCGAAGCUGCGGCAGCGACACUCAGGUGUUGUUGGGUAGGGGAGCGUUCUGUAAGCCUGUGAAGGUGUGUCGUGAGGCAUGCUGGAGGUAUCAGAAGUG
Molecule: ribosomal RNA, 227 nt
Filed under: Salmonella enterica subsp. enterica serovar Bareilly str. CFSAN000955
Lineage: Bacteria; Pseudomonadati; Pseudomonadota; Gammaproteobacteria; Enterobacterales; Enterobacteriaceae
Also listed under: 1 other name
Description: partial 23S ribosomal RNA
Rfam family: Bacterial large subunit ribosomal RNA
Source: RNAcentral